This 200-nucleotide long non-coding RNA is filed under the name Ananas comosus (pineapple). RNAcentral's name for it is "long non-coding RNA (ACOM_LNC000343)". Lineage: Eukaryota; Viridiplantae; Streptophyta; Magnoliopsida; Poales; Bromeliaceae. The record is from RNAcentral.
UAUUAAACGAGGCGAAAAAUUCAGUUCGUGUUCGCUCGUUUACUAAACAAGCACGAGCCGAAAAAUUCAGCUUGUGUUCGGCUCGUUUACUAAACAAGCGAUUCGAUUUCGAGCUCAUUUCGAGCCGAAUACGAACUGACUUGCAAACGACGAGCUGCGGUUUGUAUCUACCACGCUCACCAUCAUUGACUUAUUAAAAA